GCCAGCGUAGCUCAGCGGCAGAGCAGCUGUUUUGUAAACAGCAGGUCGUCGGUUCAAAUCCGACCGCUGGCU
This 72-nucleotide transfer RNA is filed under the name Candidatus Niyogibacteria bacterium CG10_big_fil_rev_8_21_14_0_10_42_19. RNAcentral's name for it is "tRNA-Thr". It matches the Rfam family "tRNA". From Rfam's summary of the family: Transfer RNA (tRNA) molecules are approximately 80 nucleotides in length. Their secondary structure includes four short double-helical elements and three loops (D, anti-codon, and T loops). Lineage: Bacteria; Candidatus Niyogiibacteriota. The record is from RNAcentral.